Molecule: transfer RNA, 73 nt
Filed under: Cytophagaceae bacterium
Lineage: Bacteria; Pseudomonadati; Bacteroidota; Cytophagia; Cytophagales; Cytophagaceae
Description: tRNA-Ile
Rfam family: tRNA
About the family: Transfer RNA (tRNA) molecules are approximately 80 nucleotides in length. Their secondary structure includes four short double-helical elements and three loops (D, anti-codon, and T loops). Further hydrogen bonds mediate the characteristic L-shaped molecular structure. tRNAs have two regions of fundamental functional importance: the anti-codon, which is responsible for specific mRNA codon recognition, and the 3' end, to which the tRNAs corresponding amino acid is attached (by aminoacyl-tRNA synthetases). tRNAs cope with the degeneracy of the genetic code in two manners: having more than one tRNA (with a specific anti-codon) for a particular amino acid; and 'wobble' base-pairing, i.e. permitting non-standard base-pairing at the 3rd anti-codon position.
Source: RNAcentral
GGGCGCUGUAGCUCAGGUGGUUAGAGCGUUACACUGAUAAUGUAGGUCCCUGGUUCGAGUCCAGGCAGGCCCA